CCUCAAUUUCACAGUCCACUGAACAUAGAAAAUGAAAGUGGGAGUUUCAGGUUAAAGUUUUUUGUCAAGGUAGUUUUUGAUGAAGCUGAAGUCCAACUUGAAACUUAGUACACUUGUUGCUUAUGAUAUGAUCUUUCUGAUUUUAAAGCCAAAUUAGACUUUUGGCCCCAAUUUCACGGUCCAGUGAACAUAGAAAAUGAAAGUGGGAGUUUCAGGUUAAAGUUUU
This 226-nucleotide long non-coding RNA is filed under the name Mytilus galloprovincialis (Mediterranean mussel). Lineage: Eukaryota; Metazoa; Mollusca; Bivalvia; Mytilida; Mytilidae. The record is from RNAcentral.